RNAcentral lists this ribosomal RNA (582 nucleotides) under Salmonella enterica. Its description in RNAcentral is "partial 23S ribosomal RNA". It matches the Rfam family "Bacterial large subunit ribosomal RNA", at positions 1 to 613 of the family's 2925-position model. RNAcentral also lists the same sequence under 1 other name. The record is from RNAcentral. Lineage: Bacteria; Pseudomonadati; Pseudomonadota; Gammaproteobacteria; Enterobacterales; Enterobacteriaceae.
GGGUUGUGAGGUUAAGCGACUAAGCGUACACGGUGGAUGCCCUGGCAGUCAGAGGCGAUGAAGGACGUGCUAAUCUGCGAUAAGCGCCGGUAAGGUGAUAUGAACCGUUAUAACCGGCGAUUUCCGAAUGGGGAAACCCAGUGUGACUCGUCACACUAUCAUUAACUGAAUCCAUAGGUUAAUGAGGCGAACCGGGGGAACUGAAACAUCUAAGUACCCCGAGGAAAAGAAAUCAACCGAGAUUCCCCCAGUAGCGGCGAGCGAACGGGGAGGAGCCCAGAGCCUGAAUCAGCAUGUGUGUUAGUGGAAGCGUCUGGAAAGGCGCGCGAUACAGGGUGACAGCCCCGUACACAAAAGCGCAUGUGCUGUGAGCUCGAUGAGUAGGGCGGGACACGUGGUAUCCUGUCUGAAUAUGGGGGGACCAUCCUCCAAGGCUAAAUACUCCUGACUGACCGAUAGUGAACCAGUACCGUGAGGGAAAGGCGAAAAGAACCCCGGCGAGGGGAGUGAAAAAGAACCUGAAACCGUGUACGUACAAGCAGUGGGAGCACCCUUUGGGGUGUGACUGCGUACCUUUUGUAU